GAUGAACGCUGGCGGCGUGCCUAAUACAUGCAAGUCGAGCGAACAGACGAGGAGCUUGCUCCUCUGACGUUAGCGGCGGACGGGUGAGUAACACGUGGAUAACCUACCUAUAAGACUGGGAUAACUUCGGGAAACCGGAGCUAAUACCGGAUAAUAUAUUGAACCGCAUGGUUCAAUAGUGAAAGACGGUUUUGCUGUCACUUAUAGAUGGAUCCGCGCUGCAUUAGCUAGUUGGUAAGGUAACGGCUUACCAAGGCAACGAUGCGUAGCCGACCUGAGAGGGUGAUCGGCCACACUGGAACUGAGACACGGUCCAGACUCCUACGGGAGGCAGCAGUAGGGAAUCUUCCGCAAUGGGCGGAAGCCUGACGGAGCAACGCCGCGUGAGUGAUGAAGGUCUUCGGAUCGUAAAACUCUGUUAUUAGGGAAGAACAAAUGUGUAAGUAACUAUGCACGUCUUGACGGUACCUAAUCAGAAAGCCACGGCUAACUACGUG
This 497-nucleotide ribosomal RNA is filed under the name uncultured bacterium. RNAcentral's name for it is "partial 16S ribosomal RNA". It matches the Rfam family "Bacterial small subunit ribosomal RNA", at positions 28 to 507 of the family's 1533-position model. The record is from RNAcentral.